ACUCCUACGGGAGGCAGCAGUAGGGAAUUUUCCGCAAUGGACGAAAGUCUGACGGAGCAAUGCCGCGUGAGUGAUGAAGGUUUUCGAAUCGUAAAGCUCUGUUGUAAGGGAAGAAUAGCAAGGAUAGGAAAUGCUCCUUGUCUGACGGUACCUUACCAGAAAGCCACGGCUAACUACGUGCCAGCAGCCGCGGUAAUACGUAGGUGGCAAGCGUUAUCCGGAAUUAUUGGGCGUAAAGCGCAUGUAGGCGGCCUGUUAAGUCAGAUGUGAAAGCCCGGGGCUUAACCUCGGAAUUGCAUUUGAAACUGGCAGGCUAGAGUCUUGUAGAGGGGGGUGAGAAUUUCAGGUGUAGCGGUGAAAUGCGUAGAGAUCUGAAGGAAUACCAGUGGCGAAGGCGGCCCCCUGGAGCAAAGACUAGACGCUCAGAUGCGAAAGCGUGGGGAGCAAA
RNAcentral lists this ribosomal RNA (448 nucleotides) under uncultured bacterium. Its description in RNAcentral is "bacterial SSU rRNA". It matches the Rfam family "Bacterial small subunit ribosomal RNA", at positions 335 to 772 of the family's 1533-position model. The record is from RNAcentral.